RNAcentral lists this ribosomal RNA (863 nucleotides) under Tetradesmus obliquus. Its description in RNAcentral is "LSU rRNA". It matches the Rfam family "Eukaryotic large subunit ribosomal RNA", at positions 49 to 949 of the family's 3401-position model. Lineage: Eukaryota; Viridiplantae; Chlorophyta; Chlorophyceae; Sphaeropleales; Scenedesmaceae. The record is from RNAcentral.
AGCGGAGGAAAAGAAACUAACUAGGAUGUGUAGUAACGGCGAGCGAACCGCGCAAAGCCCAACUUGAAAAUCUCCCUUGGAGAAUUGUAGUCUAUAGAAGUACCCUCUGUAACGGGCGCAGCUCAAGUCUCCUGGAAAGGGGCGUCAGAGAGGGUGAGAACCCCGUAAGCUGUUGCUUUGUUGCCUCACGAGGUGCUUUCAAAGAGUCGGGUUGCUUGGGAAUGCAGCCCAAAUUGGGUGGUAAAUCCCAUCUAAGGCUAAAUAUUGGCGAGAGACCGAUAGCGAACAAGUACCGUGAGGGAAAGAUGAAAAGAACUUUGAAAAGAGAGUUAAAAAGUGCUUGAAAUUGUUGAGGGGGAAGCGUUUGAAUGCUAGAGUGCGCCUAGGCUUAUGGGUUCUUAACGGAGCUCUGUAUGUGCUAGGUGCUGGCCAGCAUGGGUUAGGCGAGCGGGAUAAACGCUGGGGUUGAUACCCGGUCUAUGCCGCUUGCUUGACCAAGGCGUGAAGACUGCCCUUGUCCUUCGGGAACUGCAGUCUCAAGAUGCUGGCAAAAGGCUUUCAACCGACCCGUCUUGAAACACGGACCAAGGAGUCUAACAUGUAUGCGAGUUGGUGGGUGGAAAACCCAUGAAGCGUAAGGAAACUGACUGGUGAGAUGGCCUGUGCCUGCAUCAUCGACCGACCAUGCGUUUCUGCAAAAGGUUUGAGUGCGAGCAUACCUGUUGGGACCCGAAAGAUGGUGAACUAUGCCUGAGCAGGGUGAAGCCAGGUGAAAACCUGGUGGAGGCUCGUAGAUGUGCUGACGUGCAAAUCGCUUUUCGGACUUGGGUAUAGGGGCGAAAGACUAAUCGAACCUUCUAGUA